This 454-nucleotide ribosomal RNA is filed under the name uncultured Porphyromonadaceae bacterium. Its description in RNAcentral is "partial 16S ribosomal RNA". It matches the Rfam family "Bacterial small subunit ribosomal RNA", at positions 341 to 792 of the family's 1533-position model. Lineage: Bacteria; Pseudomonadati; Bacteroidota; Bacteroidia; Bacteroidales; Porphyromonadaceae. The record is from RNAcentral.
ACGGGAGGCAGCAGUGAGGAAUAUUGGUCAAUGGACGGAAGUCUGAACCAGCCAAGUCGCGUGCGGGAGGAAGGCCCUACGGGUCGUAAACCGCUUUUGUACGGGGAUAAAGUCACCCACGUGUGGGUGUUUGUAGGUACCGUAAGAAUAAGGAUCGGCUAACUCCGUGCCAGCAGCCGCGGUAAUACGGAGGAUCCGAGCGUUAUCCGGAUUUAUUGGGUUUAAAGGGUGCGCAGGCGGGCUGCUAAGUCUCCGGUGAAAUGUCAGGGCUCAACCUUGGCACUGCCGGAGAUACUGGCGGCCUUGAGAGUGGCGGAGGUAUCCGGAAUGUGUGGUGUAGCGGUGAAAUGCAUAGAUAUCGCGAAGAACUCCGAUUGCGUAGGCAGCUGACCAGGCCGUAAAUGACGCUCAUGCACGAAAGUGCGGGGAUCGAACAGGAUUAGAUACCCUGGUA